GGGUUGUGAGGUUAAGCGACUAAGCGUACACGGUGGAUGCCCUGGCAGUCAGAGGCGAUGAAGGGCGUGCUAAUCUGCGAUAAGCGCCGGUAAGGUGAUAUGAACCGUUAUAACCGGCGAUACCCGAAUGGGGAAACCCAGUGUGACUCGUCACACUAUCAUUAACUGAAUCCAUAGGUUAAUGAGGCGAACCGGGGGAACUGAAACAUCUAAGUACCCCGAGGAAAAGAAAUCAACCGAGAUUCCCCCAGUAGCGGCGAGCGAACGGGGAGGAGCCCAGAGCCUGAAUCAGCAUGUGUGUUAGUGGAAGCGUCUGGAAAGGCGCGCGAUACAGGGUGACAGCCCCGUACACAAAAGCGCAUGUGCUGUGAGCUCGAUGAGUAGGGCGGGACACGUGGUAUCCUGUCUGAAUAUGGGGGGACCAUCCUCCAAGGCUAAAUACUCCUGACUGACCGAUAGUGAACCAGUACCGUGAGGGAAAGGCGAAAAGAACCCCGGCGAGGGGAGUGAAAAAGAACCUGAAACCGUGUACGUACAAGCAGUGGGAGCCUCUUUUAUGGGGUGACUGCGUACCUUUUGUAUAAUGGGUCAGCGACUUAUAUUCUGUAGCAAGGUUAACCGUAUAGGGGAGCCGGAGGGAAACCGAGUCUUAAC
RNAcentral lists this ribosomal RNA (654 nucleotides) under Salmonella enterica. Its description in RNAcentral is "partial 23S ribosomal RNA". It matches the Rfam family "Bacterial large subunit ribosomal RNA", at positions 1 to 688 of the family's 2925-position model. The record is from RNAcentral. Lineage: Bacteria; Pseudomonadati; Pseudomonadota; Gammaproteobacteria; Enterobacterales; Enterobacteriaceae. RNAcentral also lists the same sequence under 1 other name.